UACGGAGGGGACUAGCGUUGUUCGGAAUUACUGGGCGUAAAGCGCGCGUAGGCGGAUUUGCAAGUCGGGGGUGAAAGCCCGAGGCUCAACCUCGGAACUGCCUUCGAUACUGCAAAUCUCGAGUCCGAGAGAGGUGAGUGGAAUUCCUAGUGUAGAGGUGAAAUUCGUAGAUAUUAGGAAGAACACCAGUGGCGAAGGCGGCUCACUGGCUCGGUACUGACGCUGAGGCGCGAAAGCGUGGGGGGCAAACAGG
RNAcentral lists this ribosomal RNA (253 nucleotides) under uncultured bacterium. Its description in RNAcentral is "partial 16S ribosomal RNA". It matches the Rfam family "Bacterial small subunit ribosomal RNA", at positions 524 to 776 of the family's 1533-position model. The record is from RNAcentral.